This 205-nucleotide long non-coding RNA is filed under the name Elaeis guineensis (African oil palm). Its description in RNAcentral is "long non-coding RNA (EGUI_LNC067599)". Lineage: Eukaryota; Viridiplantae; Streptophyta; Magnoliopsida; Arecales; Arecaceae. The record is from RNAcentral.
CGAUAUCUAGGAGUUCUGAGAUGAUAAAUCAAAGAUGGGUAUAUGAUGAUAUACUGAUUGGCUUUAGUCCAAGUGGGAGUUAUUGGAAAAUAUAUCCUAAAGUCAAUCAUUUGAUGAUUGCGCUAAUUAUAAAUGUAAAAUAAAUUGAUCAAUAAUAAAAGUUAUUUGAUUUUUUUUCAUCAUAAAGUUACAUCUUUUAAUGAAC